ACACUUACCUCGCAAGGGAGAUACAAUGAUGAAAAAGGCGGUUCACCCAGGGCGAGACUCAUCCAUUGCACUCCGGCUGUGCUGACCCCUGCAAAUUGACCAAAUGUGGGAAUCUUGACUGCAGAAUUUUCGUUACUGGGGGACUGACGCACAGCGGUUAAGGAAAUGGCCCUGG
The sequence is a small nuclear RNA, 175 nucleotides long. Its record names the gene U1. It matches the Rfam family "U1 spliceosomal RNA". Rfam says of the family: U1 is a small nuclear RNA (snRNA) component of the spliceosome (involved in pre-mRNA splicing). Its 5' end forms complementary base pairs with the 5' splice junction, thus defining the 5' donor site of an intron. The record is from Ensembl.